GAUGAACGCUGCGGCGUGCUUAANACAUGCAAGUCGAACGAACUGAGGAGUGCUUGCACUCCAAGGUUAGUGGCGGACGGGUGAGUAACGCGUGGGUAACCUGCCUCAUGCAGGGGGAUAACGUUUGGAAAUUGGUACUAAUUCCCCAUUAACACCUUAUGAGGCAUCUUAUUAGGUUGAAAGUUCCGGCGGUUUAAGAUGGACAUGCGUUGUAUUAGCUAGUUGGUGGGGUAACGGCUCACCAAGGCGACGAUACAUAGGGGGACUGAGAGGUUAACCCCCCACAUUGGUACUGAGACACGGACCAAACUCCUACGGGAGGCAGCAGUGAGGAAUAUUGGUCAAUGGACGCAAGUCUGAACCAGCCAUGCCGCGUGCAGGAAGACGGCUCUAUGAGUUGUAAACUGCUUUUGUACGAGGGUAAUAACAGGUACGAGUACCUGCUUGAAAGUAUCGUACGAAUAAGGAUCGGCUAACUCCGUG
Molecule: ribosomal RNA, 483 nt
Filed under: uncultured bacterium
Lineage: Bacteria
Description: bacterial SSU rRNA
Rfam family: Bacterial small subunit ribosomal RNA
Source: RNAcentral